UAGGGAAUCUUCCACAAUGGACGAAAGUCUGAUGGAGCAACGCCGCGUGAGUGAAGAAGGGUUUCGGCUCGUAAAACUCUGUUGUUAAAGAAGAACAUAUCUGAGAGUAACUGUUCAGGUAUUGACGGUAUUUAACCAGAAAGCCACGGCUGACUACGUGCCAG
This 164-nucleotide ribosomal RNA is filed under the name uncultured bacterium. RNAcentral describes it as "partial 16S rRNA". It matches the Rfam family "Bacterial small subunit ribosomal RNA", at positions 355 to 511 of the family's 1533-position model. The record is from RNAcentral.